RNAcentral lists this ribosomal RNA (253 nucleotides) under uncultured bacterium. RNAcentral's name for it is "partial 16S ribosomal RNA". It matches the Rfam family "Bacterial small subunit ribosomal RNA", at positions 524 to 776 of the family's 1533-position model. The record is from RNAcentral.
UACAGAGGUGGCGAGCGUUGUUCGGAAUUACUGGGCGUAAAGCGCGCGUAGGCGGCCGCGUGUGUCGGGCGUGAAAUCCCACGGCUCAACCGUGGAAGUGCACUCGAAACUGCGCAGCUGGAGUCUCGGAGAGGAAGGCGGAAUGCUUGGUGUAGAGGUGAAAUUCGUAGAUAUCAAGCGGAACACCGGUGGCGAAGGCGGCCUUCUGGACGAUGACUGACGCUGAAGCGCGAAAGCGUGGGGAGCAAACAGG